This 27-nucleotide non-coding RNA is filed under the name Cricetulus griseus (Chinese hamster). Lineage: Eukaryota; Metazoa; Chordata; Mammalia; Rodentia; Cricetidae. The record is from RNAcentral.
GCGGAUGCUGGCACUGCGAUUGGCGAC